CCGGCGGCGGCGGGGGGAGCGGGACAAAGGGAGCGCGCAGUCGCCGGGCGCGCGUCCCCGCCUUCCGCCUGCGUAAUGGUGGAGAGGAUUGCUCGCUUUCUUAGGAGCCGACGAGCCGGGCCCCCACCCCCCAGGGCCUCCACCCGCCUCUGCUGCAGCGGCAAAGCCGCCGGGAAUCUCGGGGAGACCGGGUAUCAGCAACCCCUCCUCCCAGUCCCGUCCCGCACGCCUGGCAGGUUGCUGGGUGCAGCUUCUAAGAGGCAUCCGUGAAAGCUCUGCCACUGUUGGAAGCUCCUGCAGCCGGGGCACCCGCAACACAGGAGCCCUAGCAACGUUUCAGAACCGAAGGGGUCACACGGUGUUCCUGUGUCUGAAGUCCUUCCUGCUGCUAUACCUCCAAGCUACAACUAAGGAGUUAACAUAAUUUCACGGGCUCUCUAGCUUCCCAGUUGCCCAUACCAGAGGAGGCUGACAUAUAAACCUGUGAUCAUGCCUGAAGGACCACACGCAACAGUACAUGAGAGGAUGGAAGGUGGAGGUGGUCCUUUUGCAAUGGAAGGUUAUCACCCUUACAUAAAAGGAAAAGAAGUGAACAAUGGGGAAGAGAUCACCAUCAUUGAGUAUCCACAGAUGACACUGUAAUUCAACAAAUAAACUGGCAGAUUUUGACUACUGGGGAAAUGCAUCUUUCUAUUCCAGAAUGUCUUAUCAAGCAGCAAGAAUUUGGCCAGGACUAGAAGACAGUGCUACCACAUGGAGUCAGUAUGCAUCCUGUAAGAAGCAGCCAAGUGCCCAGCAUGUGUUCCUCUUACACUCUGCUUAUCACAACCGUGGACCUAGCUUGUUGUACUGGACUUUCUGUUUCCCAUCUGCCUCACCCACUAAUACCAUGUGAGUUCCAGAAAGGCAGAAAGGCAUCAUGCCUUACGACUCUUUUUAUCUCAGCUCCCAGCUCAGUGCUAACACCUACUAGGUACUCCAUAAAUGUUUCCUGACAAAAGAAUGCAAGCAUGCUUAAUUGGCCAAAUAGAAGGAAUAGCCUUUUUUCUAUUAUAUACUAGAAUUUGUCAUUUUUGUGUGAAAAGUAUGGACUUUGUUGCAUUUUUAAUUGAAACUACAUGUAUAAAAUAAUUAAGAUAAUCAAUUUCCAAUAUUAUGACAUGAAGUACCUUGUUCUCUAUAAUUGGAAGAGAUUAUACAUUGCUUUUCUUGCCCAAGUUCCUCAUUUAUGAAUCUCCAUUAACAAUAAACUAACUGCUACAUUUAUAGGCUAUGAAGUAGUAGUAUAUCCUUGGGUCGAUGAGAAAAAAAAUAGGUUUAUUAAACUCAGUAAAAUAAUAUGCCCCUUAGAACCAAAUUUCUCUAGCUGUAUCAAUAAAUCACCAAUCAUCUUUCAAAAAUGGCAGGGACAAGAAGAAUACCCCUGAACCAUACAGUCUGCAUAUUGUAAGAGUAAAAUAUUAAUCAGAUAUUAGAAAACUUCCUAACAAGCAUGAAAUUUAUUUCAAAUAGACAUUUGCUAAAUUCAUCAUACCGUGAAUCUCAAAUCACUCUCUGAUCACCUAUUUCCUGUUAAGUGUGCAGUUGGCCUCUGGACUUCAGUCAGAGGUAAUCUGGCACUUUCAGAUUACCAUGAGCUGUGUAAGGCCACCAGAUGCCAAAUGUUAAGUUAUCACUCAAAGAUAAAUGAUACUUGAGUGCCCUAAAUAAGUUUAUACCUCUAAAAAUGCUUACCGGACCAGAAGACUAGUUUGCCAACGUGUCUGGUUGUCAACGUGUCCAUGCCCAAGUCAAUAAGAAUUAAUCUCUAUAGCCUCUGUUUCCAAGGAAGUAAAUCUCUAGGUUCUCCAUGUUAACUAUACCGUAGAAUAAGCUAGCAAGGCCUGGACAUCAUGACUUUUCAAGUUCCAAGUGUCUCUAAUGUGCAAUGAGAAACAUAACUUCAGGGCCUCUAUUCUUAAAAUUAUAGGGGCACAGGUUAAAUGCACCCCUUCUUCCUGCAUUCUCUCACAUCUAUCGGUGAAUGAGCUGAAUCCUUUCUACCCCAGAUUCUGUUCCUCUCCCCUUUCAGCCAUCAUGGCUUUCUUCCACAACACUGCUUGAGACUUUUGUUACCUAGAUUUCAAGCAACUUCCUCAGUGCAGGUGGAAAACAUUCACAUCAUAGAUAUAAUAGCUGAGAUUGAGAAAGAGUGCCUUCAAAUUCUACAGAAGGAAUGCCAUCCCAAACAGUCCACAUUCACUUCCUGUGUAUACUGAACUCAUUUCUUAACACACGAUUACUCAGUUGUGAGUCAUGCCUCUAUAACCAAGUAUCACCGACUUCUAUUGAUUCUAACUCCUUAAUCUCUCUCAUGUGAAUCUCUUCCUUCCCUUCCAUGUUACUUUGCUUUAGUCCAGGCCCACACCAGCGUUUCUCAUAGAAAAGCAGUUCAUUGGCCUUCAAACUAUUCUUUCAUUAUAAUUCAGCUAACCUCCCUUCAAAUCAUUCUCCACGACGCAGAGUGCUGUUUUCAAGAGGAAAUCUGAUAUUACUACUCCUUGGUUUAAUAAUAACAAUAUUGCAUUUCUUUUAGAAUCAAAUCCACACUUCUCAAGCCCUUCUUAUACCAUUUGCUGUUCCCCUAAACAUGUCACAUGAUCUUAUGCCCCUCUGUACUUGCACAGACUCCUACUACAUUUUUAAGAUUCAUCUGAGAGAUAACUUCUUUGCUACCCAGUCUGAAUUACAUGCUUAGCUAGGUAUACAGCAUCCCAUGCUUACAUCUAACAAUAAUACCUAACACAUAGCAUUAUGAUUUUUACUAUAAUUGACGUUGAGCUUAUUCAGAGUAGGGGCUGUAUCUCUUGUCUUUUUGUGCUUUAGGGCUUACAUAGGACAUGUAUACAGUAAGUGUUCAGUAAAUGUUUAUUGAGUGAAUAUCCUGUUGUUUUAUAUGUCCAUGCUUUGCCUGUACCGUUACUCUUUCCUGGCUACCUCCGAUCUCCGUUCACAGUAUUAACACCUCCAUUGAAACCCAGCUGAAGAAUCUUUUCCUUUGUAAAGCCUGGACUUGGUUUCUGAGGAGAUGUUAAUCAUACCCACCUUGUAGCCACCAUUAUAUCUUGUAUAUACUUCUAAAUAUAGUAGCUACCACUCCA
Long non-coding RNA from Canis lupus familiaris (dog), 3140 nucleotides. RefSeq lists it as uncharacterized. NCBI's taxonomy places the organism in Eukaryota, Metazoa, Chordata, Mammalia, Carnivora, Canidae. The transcript has 6 exons. The record is from RefSeq and is a predicted model, not a curated record.